UUCUUAUACCAUAAUUAUAAGUAAAAUCUGCUCCAUGUCUAAUAAAUAGCCGCAGAAUAUUAACUGUGCUAAGGUAGCAUAAUCAUUUACCUUUUAAUUAAAGGUCUGUAUGAAAGAUUGUACAUUUAAACUACUUUUUUAUUAAAUUUUCUCAAAAUUAAACUAGACAUAAAAAUGUAUCUAUAAACUAAAAAGACGACAAGACCCUAUUGAACUUUACUAAAGUUAAGCUGGGGAAGCUAAUUAAAUACAAUUUUAAUUUCUAUCUAAAUAAAAAUUUCUGAUAUAACCAAUAUGAUCAAGUUACCAUAGGGAUAACAGCGUAAUAUUUCUUUAAAGCUCUUAUUAAAAGGAAAGUUUACGACCUCGAUGUUGAAUUAGAAUUACUUUGAAACGCAAUAGUUUCUAAAAGCAGGUCUGUUCGACCUUUAAACUUCUACA
Molecule: ribosomal RNA, 441 nt
Filed under: Troglohyphantes nigraerosae
Lineage: Eukaryota; Metazoa; Arthropoda; Arachnida; Araneae; Linyphiidae
Description: partial large subunit ribosomal RNA
Rfam family: Bacterial large subunit ribosomal RNA
Source: RNAcentral